GACGAACGCUGGCGGCGUGCCUAAUACAUGCAAGUAGAACGCUGAAGGAGGAGCUUGCUCUUCUGGAUGAGUUGCGAACGGGUGAGUAACGCGUAGGUAACCUGCCUGGUAGCGGGGGAUAACUAUUGGAAACGAUAGCUAAUACCGCAUAACAGUAGAUGUUGCAUGACAUUUACUUAAAAGGUGCAAUUGCAUCACUACCAGAUGGACCUGCGUUGUAUUAGCUAGUUGGUGGGGUAACGGCUCACCAAGGCGACGAUACAUAGCCGACCUGAGAGGGUGAUCGGCCACACUGGGACUGAGACACGGCCCAGACUCCUACGGGAGGCAGCAGUAGGGAAUCUUCGGCAAUGGACGGAAGUCUGACCGAGCAACGCCGCGUGAGUGAAGAAGGGUCUCGGAUCGUAAAGCUCGGUUGUAAGAGAAGAACGAGUGUGAGAGUGGAAAGUUCACACUGUGACGGUAUCUUACCAGAAAGGGACGGCUAACUACGUG
RNAcentral lists this ribosomal RNA (495 nucleotides) under uncultured bacterium. Its description in RNAcentral is "partial 16S ribosomal RNA". It matches the Rfam family "Bacterial small subunit ribosomal RNA", at positions 28 to 507 of the family's 1533-position model. The record is from RNAcentral.